UUACCGGAUUCUGAUGCAUGGAAAAAGGUGCUUCCGAAGUCAUUGAGGUUUUAUGUUGAUAUGUGGGCACCAUUUAGUUGUUAGUCUGAUAUGUUGAUGGAGGAGACUAGGAGCUGUGAUGAGCAAUGGUUUUGCAGCAACCACCAAAGUUUUGACUCUUGUCGUCUCUCAUCUCAUCUUUGAGCUGGUCACUUAGUGUAAAUACAGCAACCAGAUUUUCUAUGAGAAUUUUCUUUUUUAGGUAUGGUAUAUUACUUAACCUUACUAAACAACAGUUGUACAGGAAUCUUAAUAUAAUACUAUAUUCUCAUUUCUAUUUGAUCAAACCAAGAAUUUCAUUG
This 341-nucleotide unclassified non-coding RNA is filed under the name Hevea brasiliensis (rubber tree). Lineage: Eukaryota; Viridiplantae; Streptophyta; Magnoliopsida; Malpighiales; Euphorbiaceae. The record is from RNAcentral.